RNAcentral lists this ribosomal RNA (620 nucleotides) under uncultured Actinomycetes bacterium. RNAcentral's name for it is "bacterial SSU rRNA". It matches the Rfam family "Bacterial small subunit ribosomal RNA", at positions 556 to 1177 of the family's 1533-position model. Lineage: Bacteria; Bacillati; Actinomycetota; Actinomycetes. The record is from RNAcentral.
GGGCGUAAGAGCUCGUAGGCGGUUUGUCGCGUCCGCUGUGAAAAUUCGAGGCUCAACCUCGGACUUGCAGUGGGUACGGGCAGACUAGAGUGCAGUAGGGGAGAAGGGAAUUCCUGGUGUAGCGGUGGAAUGCGCAGAUAUCAGGAGGAACACCAAUGGCGAAGGCACUUCUCUGGGCUGUAACUGACGCUGAGGAGCGAAAGCGUGGGGAGCGAACAGGAUUAGAUACCCUGGUAGUCCACGCCGUAAACGUUGGGCGCUAGAUGUGGGUCACACUCCACGUGAUCCGUGUCGCAGCUAACGCAUUAAGCGCCCCGCCUGGGGAGUACGGCCGCAAGGCUAAAACUCAAAGGAAUUGACGGGGGCCCGCACAAGCGGCGGAGCAUGCGGAUUAAUUCGAUGCAACGCGAAGAACCUUACCAAGGCUUGACAUAUAGUGGAAAACUGCAGAAAUGUAGUCCCCCGCAAGGGUCGCUAUACAGGUGGUGCAUGGUUGUCGUCAGCUCGUGUCGUGAGAUGUUGGGUUAAGUCCCGCAACGAGCGCAACCCUCGUUCUGUGUUGCCAGCAUUUAGUUGGGGACUCACAGGAGACUGCCGGGGUCAACUCGGAGGAAGGUAAU